Molecule: small RNA, 28 nt
Filed under: Bombyx mori (domestic silkworm)
Lineage: Eukaryota; Metazoa; Arthropoda; Insecta; Lepidoptera; Bombycidae
Description: ovarian small RNA-31311
Source: RNAcentral
UGACAAGAGAGCGGACUCAAAUUACUGC